GAUGAAGAACGUAUCGAAAUGCGAUAAGUAAUGUGAAUUGCAGAAUUCAGUGAAUCAUCGAAUCUUUGAACGCACAUUGCGCCCGCCAGUAUUCUGGCGGGCAUGCCUGUUCGAGCGUCAUUUCAACCAUCAAGCCCCAGGCUUGUGUUGGGGACCUGCGGCUGCCGCAGGCCCUGAAAACCAGUGGCGGGCUCGCUGUCACACCGGGCGUAGUAGAUUUUAUCUCGCUCAGGGCGUGCUGCGGGUUCCGGCCGUUAAAAAGCCUUUUUUACCCAAGGUUGACCUCGGAUCAGGUAGGAAGACCCGCUGAACUUAAGCAUAUCAAUAAGCGGAGGA
RNAcentral lists this unclassified non-coding RNA (336 nucleotides) under soil metagenome. Its description in RNAcentral is "partial contains 5.8S ribosomal RNA, internal transcribed spacer 2, and large subunit ribosomal RNA". The stretch from base 1 to 120 matches the Rfam family "5.8S ribosomal RNA", at positions 35 to 154 of the family's 154-position model. The record is from RNAcentral.